AGCAUGGCCAGGGGCGGGGCUUCCCUGAGGCGCGCCGAGAGGCGGUGGCCCACUUCCGGCAAUAAUCGCCUGGUCGCCGUCAGGUGCCGGCCCAGGUGGCAGGCGCGCCCGUUGGGCACUGGGGGACGCGGGCGCGUCAGGUGAAGACUGGGGGCUGCAGGCGCGCUAGGAGAACUAUGCCAUUUUUGGGUCAGGACUGGAGAUCUCCUGGAUGGAGUUGGAUUAAGACAGAAGAUGGCUGGAAGAAUUGUGAAUCUUGUAGUCAGAAACUUGAAAGAGAGAAUAACCAUUGUAACAUCAGUCACAGCAUUAUCUUAAAUAGCGAAGAUGGAGAAAUACUCAAUAAUGAAGAGCAUGAAUAUGCAUCCAAAAAAAGAAAAAGGACCAUUUUAGAAAUGACACAAAUACUCAAAGUUUUUAUCAUGAAAAAUGGAUCUAUGUCCAUAAAGAAAGCACAAAAGAAAGGCAUGGCUAUUGCACCUUGGGAGAAACCUUUAAUCGGUUAGACUUCUCAAGUGCAAUUCAAGAUACCCGAAGGUUCAAUUAUGUGGUCAAAAUACUGAAACAAUUACUUGCUAAGAGCAAACUUGAAGGUAUGGAUAAGGCCCUGAGUCAUCUUCCUGAGCUGAAUGAUAGUUAAGCUGAAUUAACAAUUUGGACAAGACAGCAAAUGCUAUUGUCGAAGUUUUCUAAAGAAGAAUCUGAAGUGAAAUGACAUCAAGAGACCUAUCAAGACCUGUAUCCAGGAAAAGAGUCUUGCUCUUGUUGCCCAGGCUGGAGUGCAAUGGCGUGAUUUUGGCUCACUGUAAACUCCACCUCCUGGGUUCAAGUGAUUCUCCUGCCUCAGCCUCCCUAGUAGCUGGUAUUACAGGUGCCUGCCACCACACCCAGCUAAUUUUUGUAUUCUUAGUAGAGAUGGGGGUUUCACCAUGUUGGCCAGCCUGGUCCCGAACUCCUGACCUUAGGUGAUCCACCAGCAUCGGCCUCCCAAAGUGCUGGGAUUACAGGUGUGAGCCACUGCGUCCAGCCAGUGGUGGGUCUCAUAUCUCAAUGUGGACUUUUACUAACUCCCGAUGCCUCAGUUUCCUCAUCAGUUGAAAGGAAUGAAUGAAAGAUUUGUGUUUUUCAUAUUACCAGGUAGAUGAUAAGGAGAUUUU
This 1157-nucleotide long non-coding RNA is filed under the name Homo sapiens (human). RNAcentral's name for it is "PREDICTED lncRNA (TCONS_00156201)". The record is from RNAcentral. Lineage: Eukaryota; Metazoa; Chordata; Mammalia; Primates; Hominidae.